This 253-nucleotide ribosomal RNA is filed under the name uncultured bacterium. RNAcentral's name for it is "partial 16S ribosomal RNA". It matches the Rfam family "Bacterial small subunit ribosomal RNA", at positions 524 to 776 of the family's 1533-position model. The record is from RNAcentral.
UACGGGGGGGGCAAGCGUUGUUCGGAAUUACUGGGCGUAAAGGGCGCGUAGGCGGCCAUCUAAGUCAGACGUGAAAUCCCCCGGCUCAACCUGGGGACUGCGUCUGAUACUGGAAGGCUAGAGUUUGGGAGAGGGAUGUAGAAUUCCAGGUGUAGCGGUGAAAUGCGUAGAUAUCUGGAGGAAUACCGGUGGCGAAGGCGGCAUCCUGGACCAAUACUGACGCUGAGGCGCGAAAGCUAGGGGAGCAAACGGG